This 465-nucleotide ribosomal RNA is filed under the name uncultured bacterium. Its description in RNAcentral is "bacterial SSU rRNA". It matches the Rfam family "Bacterial small subunit ribosomal RNA", at positions 338 to 795 of the family's 1533-position model. The record is from RNAcentral.
CCUACGGGUGGCAGCAGUGGGGAAUAUUGCACAGUGGGCGCAAGCCUGAUGCAGCCAUGCCGCGUGUAUGAAGAAGGCCUUCGGGUUGUAAAGUACUUUCAGCGAGGAGGAAGGCGUUAAGGUUAAUAACCUUAGCGAUUGACGUUACUCGCAGAAGAAGCACCGGCUAACUCCGUGCCAGCAGCCGCGGUAAUACGGAGGGUGCAAGCGUUAAUCGGAAUUACCGGGCGUAAAGCGCACGCAGGCGGUCUGUCAAGUCGGAUGUGAAAUCCCCGGGCUCAACCUGGGAACUGCAUUCGAAACUGGCAGGCUAGAGUCUUGUAGAGGGGGGUAGAAUUUCAGGUGUAGCGGUGAAAUGCGUAGAGAUCUGAAGGAAUACCAGUGGCGAAGGCGGCCCCCUGGACAAAGACUGACGCUCAGAUGCGAAAGCGUGGGGAGCAAACAGGAUUAGAUACCCGCGUAGUC